RNAcentral lists this ribosomal RNA (433 nucleotides) under uncultured bacterium. RNAcentral's name for it is "partial 16S ribosomal RNA". It matches the Rfam family "Bacterial small subunit ribosomal RNA", at positions 29 to 507 of the family's 1533-position model. The record is from RNAcentral.
AACGAACGCUGGCGGCAUGCCUAACACAUGCAAGUCGAACGAGACCUUCGGGUCUAGUGGCGCACGGGUGCGUAACGCGUGGGAACCUGCCCUUAGGUUCGGAAUAACUCCCCGAAAGGGGUGCUAAUACCGGAUAAUGUCUUCGGACCAAAGAUUUAUCGCCUUUGGAUGGGCCCGCGUUGGAUUAGCUAGUUGGUAGGGUAAAAGCCUACCAAGGCGACGAUCCAUAGCUGGUCUGAGAGGAUGAUCAGCCACACUGGGACUGGGACACGGCCCAGACUCCUACGGGAGGCAGCAGUGGGGAAUAUUGGACAAUGGGCGAAAGCCUGAUCCAGCAAUGCCGCGUGAGUGAUGAAGGCCUUAGGGUUGUAAAGCUCUUUUACCCGGGAUGAUAAUGACAGUACCGGGAGAAUAAGCCCCGGCUAACUCCGUG